Molecule: unclassified non-coding RNA, 271 nt
Filed under: Hevea brasiliensis (rubber tree)
Lineage: Eukaryota; Viridiplantae; Streptophyta; Magnoliopsida; Malpighiales; Euphorbiaceae
Source: RNAcentral
AAACAGAGGAAGAUAGAGAAGAAUAGAAAGAAGAUAAGUCAACUUUGAAGAUCAAACAUAUAAAUAAUUAGGUAACUAUAUGCCUGUAUAAAAGCACCACAAGAUAUCAUCAAGGUCAUGCUUUUGAUAUAAGAUUGUUUCGGAAAUAUAUCACUUUCAAGAGCAAAUGGGUAUAAAGACUUGACAAUAUUAAGGAUUAGUUGAGUUGAUUGCAUAUUUUGAAAUCACAUAUUGUUAAAUUUGAAGAGAGAGUUGGUCAAAUUACAAUUUA